Acanthosepion pharaonis is the source of this 110-nucleotide non-coding RNA. The record is from the annotation of a GenBank genome assembly. Lineage: Eukaryota; Metazoa; Mollusca; Cephalopoda; Sepiida; Sepiidae.
UACGGUCGCAUCACGUUGAAACAUUGGUUCUUGUACGUCCACAGAAGUUAAGAAAUGUCGAGCCUGGUCAGUACUUAGAUGGGUUACCAUCAGGGAAUACCAAGUGCUAU